GACGAACGCUGGCGGCGUGCUUAACACAUGCAAGUCGAACGAAGAGCGACGGAAGCUUGCUUCUAUCAAUCUUAGUGGCGAACGGGUGAGUAACGCGUAAUCAACCUGCCCUUCAGAGGGGGACAACAGUUGGAAACGACUGCUAAUACCGCAUACGAUCUAACCUCGGCAUCGAGGAUAGAUGAAAGGUGGCCUCUACAUGUAAGCUAUCACUGAAGGAGGGGAUUGCGUCUGAUUAGCUAGUUGGAGGGGGAACGGCCCACCAAGGCGAUGAUCAGUAGCCGGUCUGAGAGGAUGAACGGCCACAUUGGGACUGAGACACGGCCCAGACUCCUACGGGAGGCAGCAGUGGGGAAUCUUCCGCAAUGGACGAAAGUCUGACGGAGCAACGCCGCGUGAGUGAUGACGGCCUUCGGGUUGUAAAGCUCUGUUAAUCGGGACGAAAGGCCUUCUUGCGAAUAGUGAGAAGGAUUGACGGUACCGGAAUAGAAAGCCACGGCUAACUACGUG
Molecule: ribosomal RNA, 510 nt
Filed under: uncultured bacterium
Lineage: Bacteria
Description: partial 16S ribosomal RNA
Rfam family: Bacterial small subunit ribosomal RNA
Source: RNAcentral